UACAGAGGUCUCAAGCGUUGUUCGGAUUCAUUGGGCGUAAAGGGGGCGUAGGUGGCGCGUUAAGUCAGGUGUGAAAUUUCGGAGCUUAACUCCGAAACUGCAUUUGAUACUGGCGUGCUUGAGGACUGGAGAGGAGACUGGAAUUCAUGGUGUAGCAGUGAAAUGCGUAGAGAUCAUGAGGAAGACCAGUGGCGAAGGCGGGUCUCUGGACAGUUCCUGACACUGAGGCACGAAGGCCAGGGGAGCAAACGGG
RNAcentral lists this ribosomal RNA (253 nucleotides) under uncultured bacterium. RNAcentral describes it as "partial 16S ribosomal RNA". It matches the Rfam family "Bacterial small subunit ribosomal RNA", at positions 524 to 776 of the family's 1533-position model. The record is from RNAcentral.